Molecule: ribosomal RNA, 497 nt
Filed under: uncultured bacterium
Lineage: Bacteria
Description: bacterial SSU rRNA
Rfam family: Bacterial small subunit ribosomal RNA
Source: RNAcentral
UAGUCCACGCCGUAAACGAUGGUCACUAGUUGUUGGGGCUUUAUGCCUCAGUGAUUAAGAGAAAUUGAUAAGUGACCCACCUGGGGAGUACGAUCGCAAGAUUGAAACUCAAAGGAAUUGACGGGGCCCCGCACAAGCAGCGGAGCGUGUGGUUUAAUUCGAUGAUACACGAAGAACCUUACCUGGGUUUGACAUGUACGUGGUAUUGAUGCGAAAGCUGAGAGACCCUUCGGGGAGCGUACACAGGUGCUGCAUGGCUGUCGUCAGCUCGUGCCGUGAGGUGUCGGGUUAAGUCCCGUAACGAGCGCAACCCUUGCCCCUAGUUACAAGUGUCUAGGGGGACUGCCGGUGAUAAAUCGGAGGAAGGUGGGGAUGACGUCAAGUCAGCAUGGCCUUUAUAUCCAGGGCUACACACACACUACAAUGGCCGGUACAAUGGGUAGCGAAGCCGCGAGGAAGAGCGAAUCUCGAAAGCCGGUCGUAGUUCGAAUUGUAGG